AAAGAGGCCUGAAGCAUUAGAAACUGCUAAUUUCUACCCCCAUGGUUAAACUCCA
RNAcentral lists this transfer RNA (55 nucleotides) under Olyra longicaudata. RNAcentral describes it as "partial tRNA-Ser". Lineage: Eukaryota; Metazoa; Chordata; Actinopteri; Siluriformes; Bagridae. The record is from RNAcentral.